AACAGCUCACAUACAGAGCUUCUGCCUCAAAGGACCACUCAUUGAAGCAGAAAUAAAAAAGGAAUAUAAAGACAGGGGAGUGAUCAGAAGACGAAUAGUGGGUCAGACUUUGUUUCAGGUUUGAUUGUAUAUUUACGUAUUUGUCUAAAUUGACAGGAUUGACUAUCAGAAACAGGGAAUAUAGGCCUAUAUGACAACUUAGCGAAGUAUUUUUAUUAUGUAAUUCUAUUGACACUAAAGGACUAGGGUGGGGAUUCAGUACAAGACUCGAGUGUAAAUUGCCUUUAAAUUACCUUUACUGUAAAUGAUCAACUCAACUACCUUGCUAUGCAAUUGGGAAAAUGCAAUGUUAAUAAAAUGUUAGUGUUAUUACAGCGGCAUAAGUGUUAACAGUAAUAUUAACAAAACUAAAUAUAAGACUAAGUAUCUACGGGAAUAUCUAAACACGGCCUUGUUGAAUCGACUACAGCCAAGGUACCAGUAGGUGGAAAAUAAUGUUAAUUUGUAUUUGAUGAAAAUAUCCCUUUAGUUGGUAUGAUGUGUAUGUUUGAAACUUAUUUGUAUUUGAGCUCAAGCAGUAGAAAAUGUUAAGUGCCGGUACUCAGCUCUGGUGAGCUCCUACACAAGUCAAGCACUGUGAAUUUUGACAGUGGAACUACAUUUUACAUUUUGGAUAUACAGUGCCUCUAGAAAGUCUACAACCCCCUUGGAUUUAUUCAAAUUUGAUUGCGUUACAAAGUGGGAUUAAAAUGGAUUUGAUUGCCAUUUUUUUGUCAAUGAGCCACACUAAAUAUUCUGUAAAGACAAAGUGGAAAAAUUCUAACAUUUUUUGAAGAUUCAUGAAAAUGUUAUAACUAAAAUAUAGUAGUUUCAUAAGAGGGGCUAGAUACAUAAAAUGCUUUUAUUUCUAAAUGGAAAAACAGAUACAGUGCAUUCAGAAAGUAUUCAGACCCCUUGACUUUUCCACAUUUUGUUACAUUACAUCCUUAUUCUAAAUUGAUAAAAAAAAAUUAUUUACUGUGUGUAGAUUGAUGAGGGAAAAAACCCAUUUAAUCCAUUUUAGAAUAAUACCCCAUAAUGACAAAGCAAAAACAGUUGUUUUUUUGUGUGCAAAUGUAUUAAAAAUAAAUAACGGAAAUAUCACAUUUACAUAUGUACUCAGACCGUUUACUCAGUACUUUGUUAAACUACCGCCUCAAGUCUUCUUGAGUAUGACGCUACAAGCUUGGCACACCUGUAUUUGGGGAGUUUCUCCCAUUCAUCUCUACAGAUCCUCUCAAGUUCCGUCGGGUGUUUUCUUGCGAACAUAUCCGAAAAGGAAGAUGGGUCUCUAAUGAAAUAUUCAACAUGGUGGAGGAAUGUUGGUGACCUGCAACACAACACAAGUCCCACAGGGAAACUACUGGGGUAGAUUGCUGAGAACAUCAACAGAUAUGUAUUUUUAGAUAGGCCUAAUCUCAUCUCCGUCUUUAGAGGCAUUAGGAAAAACCUUCAUCUGAAUCAUUUUGUUGCACUAAGAAACAAGGAAAUAGUGAAUGCGUUGAUCGAUAUCUUCAUCAAAUGUGGUAUGCUAUUCUAAGCUCUAGUAUAUUCUCUAUCAACAUUCAAGUAUCAAUGAAGCAUGGAUGGAUUUAUAAAAUGUCAAUAGCCAGUAAUGAAAUGAGAAUCCAUUCUCGGUAACAGGACAGUGCAAAAAAAUAUGACUAUUUACAAUUAUUUAGCAAAUUAAGAAGAAGAUUUAUGAAAUGGAGAUGUAUUGCACAUAUCAUUUGAUUUGAAAUAGAUCCUUUCCUCCUCUGAGUCUUGUGCUUUCAUACAGUAGGUCUGUCUGAGACAUCAUGGAGGGUAACAACAGAAAACAGAGAGAAAGAUUAGAAGAAAGAUCCCCAGAGACGUCUCCUAUGACGGUUCCGGUAACCCAGCCACGCUCCUCAAUGUUCUCCUGCUGUUUGGGGAUGGCAUCUGAUGAACCUGUAGGCGACCCAGCUAGUAAUGUAACACAAGGCUCUAUUAUGAAGCAGCCCACCAGACAGUCUUAUGUCAACAACCCAGACACCAGCGGACGCAUAAUACGAUUGGAGAAUACUGAGCUGCAAAUGUUUCCCACUGGUGCCAUGAGGUCGAACAACACCCCACAACCAGGGCAACCAGAGCCUUCUAAUAAGAUGAAGAAUAAAAGAGGGGACCAAGAUGGAAGGAAGGAGCUCAACCAGGGGUCCAGUCAGAAGCAGAACCAGGAUCAAAAGAUCAAGUUUCUGAUCAAUGUGCCCAUGAGGGUCCCACUACUUAACAACAACCGACUGGACCAAAUCCAGUCACAGGUUCAAAGGUUACUGAAGUUGUUGGAGGAUACAGGAUUUAAGGAGGAAGAUGAGGAGCACCUGAAAGAUGUGGCCAUCAUCAUUGGCCUCAAUGGCAAAGAUUCUCCUGAGCUCAGGGGACAGCUGACAAUGCUGAUGAACAUGGAGGAGAAUACGGUAUUGAAGUUUAAAAAGAUUUCAUUUACCUGGGGACCCAAUGGUAACAUUAAAUAUGUAGACAGUAUAAAUAAAAUAAAAGGUAUACCAUAUACGGAUAUCAGAGAAUAUCUAAAAGAUCAUGAAGAAACUAAACAGCUUGUUAGAGAGUUGAGAGGAGAGGAUCCUGACGCUCUGAUCUAUUUCAGUUUUAUUGACGCUGAUACUGUAAACUUUAACCAAGUUUACAGCUCUUAUUUAGAGAUAGUCAGAAAGCACUCUAACACUCACUCUGGCAUCCCCCCAACGGUGAUGUCAACAGGCUAUGAGUUUCCGGACAGGGCUUUUAAGAGGCCAAGCCAGGUUGACAGAGCAAUUCGAGUUGAGACAGCAAAACACUUUCCUCUAGGCACAUACUAUCCAGAGCCCAACUUCUGUGUUUUACUCCUAAAGGGGGAGGACACACUAACAGAGAGCUUUCUUGGAAAAGACAAAACAAUGGAGUCGCCAAAAAUUAUCAAAAAAGUUAAGGAGCGUGAACAAUUCACAGCAGUCUUUACCGCUGACAAUCCCAUAAUUACCUCUGUUCCAGCAAGGUGUCAAAUAAAUAAGGAUGGCCUGACAACUGCUCAAUCACAUUUUAAUCCUAGAGUUUGGGCAACAAGUGCAUACAUCCAUGGUGAGAUAAAGAGUGAACUAAAGGGCCAAGGAAGUUUUGGUAAAACAAGACGAUUAUUGAUGGAACUGUUGACUUGUCCAGAUGAGAAAUUUGAGGACAAGUGUAAAGAACUUCCUGUGGUAAAUGAUGAUGCAUUUCUGAGCCUGUGUAAGGCAGCUGGUGAGGUCCGAGAAUACAGAAAGAAAGUGAGGGGGUAUGCGAACCAACAGGAUAAGAGGAGUCCGGCAGAGAGCAGAGCAAAACAACCAGAGAUGUAACGCAUACCAAUUCAUGGCACUUCUAAAGCCUAGACUUAUGUUGACAUAAAAAUCUGUAGCCUUACUUUUGUUACGACUUUUAUUUUGCCGUAAUGUAUUGAGACACUGUUUGUAGCCUGGGGACUUUUAUUUUGAAAGCGAUAAUAUUCCCAGAGGCACCUUUGAGAGAGUGUGGAGAAAAAGACACAGAGUGGAUGUUGAUGACUGCGUGGCUGUAUGUCUUGGUCCAGAGUAAUUCAACUACACGUAACAGUUUUCCUUUGUAGCCCGUGUGUUAUUUUUACUGCCAAUCCACAAGUCCUCUGUUGGAGGUAGUGUUUAAUACCUAAAAGUAGAAAUAAGAGUUAUUCCACAAGUCCUCUGUUGGAGGUAGUGUUUAAUACCUACAAGUAGAAGUAAGAGUUAUUCCACAAGUCCUCUGUUGGAGGUAGUGUUUAAUACCUACAAGUAGAAAUAAGAGUUAUACAAAUCUAUCCAAUCCACAAGUCCUCUGUUGGAGGUAGUGUUUAAUACCUACAAGCAGAAAUAAGGGUUAUACAAAUCUAUCCAAUCCACAAGUCCUCUGUUGGAGGUAGUGUUUAAUACCUACAAGUAGAAAUAAGAGUUAUACAAAUCUAUCCAAUCCACAAGUCCUCUGUUGGAGGUCGUGUUUAAUACCUACAAGUAGAAAUAAGAGUUAUUCCACAAGACCUCUGUUGGAGGUCGUGUUUAAUACCUACAAGUAGAAGUAAGAGUUAUUCCACAAGUCCUCUGUUGGAGGUAGUGUUUAAUACCUACAAGUAGAAAUAAGAGUUAUACAAAUCUAUCCAAUCCACAAGUCCUCUGUUGGAGGUAGUGUUUAAUACCUACAAGUAGAAAUAAGAGUUAUACAAAUCUAUCCAAUCCACAAGUCCUCUGUUGGAGGUAGUGUUUAAUACCUACAAGCAGAAAUAAGGGUUAUACAAAUCUAUCCAAUCCACAAGUCCUCUGUUGGAGGUAAUGUUUAAUACCUACAAGUAGAAAUAAGAGUUAUACAAAUCUAUCCAAUCCAGAAUAAGAAUGUCAUUUCCAAACAAGACAUAAACUCAAAUGUUGCUAAAUGACCUGGAUGAAUCUCUAGUCGUACACAACUAUGGGUGUAACCAUUUGUGCCAGAAUACUCACCAGACAUCAGCUUUAAUGGUGUAGAGGUGAGGAGUGAAAUACAGUAUAAAACAAUUAGGAAUUGACGGGUAUAAUAAGUUAUUCAUGAAACAAAGGUUAAAUCACUUACAGUUACAAUAAGUGCCAUGGAAGUUUAAUGACCACAGUCAGGACAUCUGUUUAAUGUCCCAUCUGAAAGGCUGCACCUAAUGCAGGGCAAUGUCCCUGUCACUGCCCCUGGGCAUUGGGAACUCCUUAGACCAGAGGGAAGAGUGCCCCCUACUGGCCCUCCAACACCACUUCCAGCCUACUGUAUACAUAUUAGUUGUGUCCUAUAUAAUUGCUCCAUUCAACACAUAGCACUAAAGAGCGAUUGAAACACACUACAGUGUGAUUGAAAUGUACAUUUCCAAUUGAGUGGAUAUAUGCAGCCUUUACCGUGAACACAGUCUCCACAAACAUGGGAACAUGGCUGUUUUCCAUUUGAACAUGCAUGUAGGGUAGAUAGGGUUUGAUGGAGGAGUAGAGACACUUGUCUGACUGUGACUGCAUGACUGCUCUUCAGGCUGUGAUGAGAUUCAUAUGUACUUUAUCACUGAAUACUUUGUUGUGAACCUUUUCGUUUUAAUCAUAAGUAAUAUUAAUAAAGAGUUGUUGAUAUAAUACAGUGAUAUAUAGCAUGAAUGGAAAACACCUUUUAGUUUGAACUAAUCAUAAUGCCAGGCCAGAACUAACCAUUUUAUAAAACUAUAGAAAGAUAUCCUAUGUAAUGGUAACACUUGUGGUUAAGUACUGUAACAAUAUGUACCUACACUGUCAUUUUAUAACCAUCACAUGUAUGUUCUAACUAUCAUUAUAACCAUCACAUGUAUGUUCUAUCAUUAUUGUCACGCCCUGGUCUUAGUAUUUUGUGUUUUUCUUAUUUAUUUGGUCAGGCCAGGGUGUGACAUGGGUUUAUUUUGUGUUGUGUUUAUGUAUAGGGUUUUUUUCGUAGGUAUUGGGAUUGUGGCUGAGUAGGGGUGUCUAGCAUAGUCUAUGGCUGCCUGAGGCGGUUCUCAAUCAGAGUCAGGUGAUUCUCGUUGUCUCUGAUUGGGAACCAUAUUUAGGUAGCCUGGGUUUCACUGUGUGUUUUGUGGGUGAUUGUUCCUGUCUCAGUGUGUUGGUAUUCACCAGACAGGCUGUAUAGGUUUUCACAUUUCCGUUUGUUGUUUUUGUAUUGUUCGUUUUCAUCGUUAUUAAAGAUGUCUCGAUUUAACCACGCUGCAUUUUGGUCCGACUCUCCUUCGACGGAAGCCGUAACAAUUAUAACCAUCACAUGUAUGUUCUAACUAUCAUUAUAACCAUCACAUGUAGGUUCUAUCAUUAUAACCAUCACAUGUAUGUUCUAUCAUUAUAACCAUCACAUGUAUGUUCUAUCAUUAUAACCAUCACAUGUAUGUUCUAUCAUUAUAACCAUCACAUGUAUGUUCUAUCAUUAUAACCAUCACAUGCAUGUUCUAACUAUCAUUAUAACCAUCACAUGUAUGUUCUAUCAUUAUAACCAUCACAUGUAUGUUCUAACUAUCAUUAUAACCAUCACAUAUUAUGAUCAGUAAUCACAUAAUUAAGUUUUGACAUUUGAUUUGAUGAUUUCACUAUAUGUGUCUAUGUCAGUUUUUGCCUGCCUCAUAAUAAAC
Molecule: long non-coding RNA, 6190 nt
Organism: Oncorhynchus tshawytscha (Chinook salmon)
Lineage: Eukaryota; Metazoa; Chordata; Actinopteri; Salmoniformes; Salmonidae
Source: Ensembl